This 71-nucleotide transfer RNA is filed under the name Symphurus plagiusa (blackcheek tonguefish). RNAcentral describes it as "tRNA-Ser". It matches the Rfam family "tRNA". Rfam says of the family: Transfer RNA (tRNA) molecules are approximately 80 nucleotides in length. Their secondary structure includes four short double-helical elements and three loops (D, anti-codon, and T loops). RNAcentral also lists the same sequence under 1 other name. The record is from RNAcentral. Lineage: Eukaryota; Metazoa; Chordata; Actinopteri; Pleuronectiformes; Cynoglossidae.
AAGAAGGUGACAGAGUGGCUAUGUGGCUGGCUUGAAACCAGUAGACGGAGGUUCAAGUCCUUCCCUUCUCG